GACGAACGCUGGCGGCGGGCUUAACACAUGCAAGUCGAACGGAAGGGCCGUGCUUGCGUGGGGUGCCCGAGGGGCGAACGGGUGAGUAACACGUGAGUAACCUGGCCUUGACUUUGGGAUAACUUCAGGAAGGUGGGGCUAAUACAGGAUAGGAGCGGCUGCAGGAGGGUGGGGGUGGGAACGUUUCGGCGGUAUGGGAUGGACGCGCGGCUUACCAGCUUGUUGGUGGGGGAGUGGCUUACCAAGGCUUUGACGGGUAGCCGGCCUGGGAGGGUGACCGGCCACAUUGGGCCUGAGGUACGGCCCAGACUCCUACGGGAGACAGCGGUGGGGAGUAUGGCCCAAUGGGCGGAAGCCUGAGACAGCGACGCCGCGUGUGGGAUGACGGCCUUCGGGUUGUAAACCGCAGUCGCCUGUGACGAAGCGUGAGUGACGGUAAUGGGUAAAGAAGCACCGGCUAACUACGUG
RNAcentral lists this ribosomal RNA (468 nucleotides) under uncultured bacterium. Its description in RNAcentral is "partial 16S ribosomal RNA". It matches the Rfam family "Bacterial small subunit ribosomal RNA", at positions 28 to 507 of the family's 1533-position model. The record is from RNAcentral.